GUAGGUGGCAAGCGUUGUCCGGAAUUAUUGGGGCGUAAAGCGCGCGCAGGCGGUUCGUUUAAGUCUGAUGUGAAAGCCCACGGCUCAACCGUGGAGGGUCAUUGGAAACUGGAGAACUUGAGUACAGAAGAGGAAAGCGGAAUUCCACGUGUAGCGGUGAAAUGCGUAGAGAUGUGGAGGGACACCAGUGGCGAAGGCGGCUUUCUGGUCUGUAACUGACGCUGAGGCGCGAAAGCGUGGGGAGCAAACAGGAUUAGAUACCCUGGUAGUCCACGCCGUAAACGAUGAGUGCUAAGUGUUAGGGGGUUUCCGCCCCUUAGUGCUGCAGCUAACGCAUUAAGCACUCCGCCUGGGGAGUACGGCCGCAAAGGCUG
RNAcentral lists this ribosomal RNA (374 nucleotides) under uncultured organism. Its description in RNAcentral is "partial 16S ribosomal RNA". It matches the Rfam family "Bacterial small subunit ribosomal RNA", at positions 527 to 896 of the family's 1533-position model. The record is from RNAcentral.